AUAAUGACUCUCGGCAACGGAUAUCUCGGCUCUCGCAUCGAUGAAGAACGUAGCGAAAUGCGAUACUUGGUGUGAAUUGCAAAAUCCCGUGAACCAUCGAGUCUUUGAACGCAAGUUGCGCCCGAAGCCUUCUGGCCGAGGGCACGUCUGCCUGGGCGUCACGCA
Molecule: ribosomal RNA, 165 nt
Filed under: Suaeda linearis
Lineage: Eukaryota; Viridiplantae; Streptophyta; Magnoliopsida; Caryophyllales; Amaranthaceae
Description: 5.8S ribosomal RNA
Rfam family: 5.8S ribosomal RNA
About the family: 5.8S ribosomal RNA (5.8S rRNA) is a component of the large subunit of the eukaryotic ribosome. It is transcribed by RNA polymerase I as part of the 45S precursor that also contains 18S and 28S rRNA. Functionally, it is thought that 5.8S rRNA may be involved in ribosome translocation.
Source: RNAcentral